RNAcentral lists this unclassified non-coding RNA (269 nucleotides) under Hevea brasiliensis (rubber tree). Lineage: Eukaryota; Viridiplantae; Streptophyta; Magnoliopsida; Malpighiales; Euphorbiaceae. The record is from RNAcentral.
AAUCCCAGCAAACUUGCAGAUGAAACCUUCGGUCUGAUUAUCGAACUUCCAUGUAGUGUUCAAGAAAUUCAAUGGAUCUUCAAAUGAAUCUUUAAUAGAUUUCAGACAGUCAAUGUCGCUUUGAACAGCAGAGCAAACAGCACAGCUCAAGACCAAGUAAAUCAAAAUAGCAGCAAAGGUAGUAAGAGCUCUCUUAUCCAAAGCCAUCUUGGUGAGAGGCACCGUCAUAACCGCAACAAUCGAAGGUCCUAAUUAAGUAGUUGAUUGAA